Molecule: long non-coding RNA, 979 nt
Filed under: Medicago truncatula (barrel medic)
Lineage: Eukaryota; Viridiplantae; Streptophyta; Magnoliopsida; Fabales; Fabaceae
Description: long non-coding RNA (MTRU_LNC007906)
Source: RNAcentral
UAACGACAAUUGAUUUAUCAACAAACUAAAAUGAACAAUGAAAAUAGAGAGAGUAAGGAACUAAUUACAUCCAUAUGCUUGGUUUCGAGUUAUCAAAAUAAAGCACAAACGUGUUCAAGUAGUAGCUAAAAAUCAACCAAAAUAGUUUUGACGCAUAUAAACGUGCGUCUCUCGAGCACAAACGCGUUCAAGAAGUAACUGAAGAAGCAAAUAAGAGACACAAACAAACAACAAGGUUUUCCAGAACAGAACUUAUCCAUAGAAAAUAAAAUGCCAACGUCCACAUGAGCUCGAAACCUUGGAGUAAAUGUUCACUUGAGUUGCUUGAGUAAAAUGUUAUAGUUCCUCUACACUUGCAACCUCAAAUCAAGCAGCAUGAGCUGCCCUACCUAGAGCUCCAUAAGCUAUAGCUUGACCUUGAGCUGCAAUAGCAUCAGCAUGAGCCUGAAGAAAGGACAUAAACAAAUUAAUUAUGCGUAUAUUUGAUUAACGUUAAUUUAUAUGUUUUCUAUUUUUUGAUUAAAUUUUAUUUGGUAUUUUUAUUUUGAUAAUAAAAAUAAGGAACUGAUACACACCACUAACAUAAACACACCUACCUACAUGUGGACACAGAGGAACAAUAACUAGCACAAAAAAACCAGAAUCUAAAACGCAGACAUCACCAUUGCCUUCCCUAGUAAAACACACCUUCUAGUUGUGGAAGUAAAUGUGUAGGGAUACAUAUUGUAAAGUUUCUGUUUUGUAGGUUAAAAUGAAACAAGAACCAUGCAUAAUAAGAGCAAAAACCAUAACAGAGUAAAUUGAAAAUGCACACAAAAACAAGAACAUAUCAAGAACACAAAAACCAUAAAACAAGAACCAUGCAUAAGCAAAAACUUGUUACCUGAAUCACGUUGCCAGCAAUAACAGAAACCACGAAAGGUCUAGCCGUUGCCAUCGUGAUUUGUUCAUAAGUGAGGUUAACGCCAUCCCAAACCUG